RNAcentral lists this long non-coding RNA (245 nucleotides) under Elaeis guineensis (African oil palm). RNAcentral describes it as "long non-coding RNA (EGUI_LNC045733)". The record is from RNAcentral. Lineage: Eukaryota; Viridiplantae; Streptophyta; Magnoliopsida; Arecales; Arecaceae.
GAGGGAGAAGUACCACCAAUCUUUUACCGAGGGAUGGCGUUUGAAGGUGUAGAAGUUCCUAAACAAAGAAAGAGUCAGCCGAACUUUGGCUAAACUACAAAGAGAAAGAAACCCUAUCAAAAACCUAAAGGAGUUCGACACGACGGAAACUAGAGAAAUGUUCAGAAAAUGAAAGAGAGCAACGACAAAGGAUGGCAGUGGAAGCCGAAGUCCGACACGGAAGGCCUCCUGGUACAGACAGAAGC